GGAAGGGUGGCCGAGUUGGUUAUGGCGCCAGGUUAAGGUCAGCUUAACAUCUGUUUCCUAGUGGGGCAACCCGCGCGAGUUCGAGUCUCGUCCCUUUCA
RNAcentral lists this transfer RNA (99 nucleotides) under Colletotrichum cereale. RNAcentral describes it as "tRNA-Leu". It matches the Rfam family "tRNA". Rfam says of the family: Transfer RNA (tRNA) molecules are approximately 80 nucleotides in length. Their secondary structure includes four short double-helical elements and three loops (D, anti-codon, and T loops). Further hydrogen bonds mediate the characteristic L-shaped molecular structure. tRNAs have two regions of fundamental functional importance: the anti-codon, which is responsible for specific mRNA codon recognition, and the 3' end, to which the tRNAs corresponding amino acid is attached (by aminoacyl-tRNA synthetases). tRNAs cope with the degeneracy of the genetic code in two manners: having more than one tRNA (with a specific anti-codon) for a particular amino acid; and 'wobble' base-pairing, i.e. permitting non-standard base-pairing at the 3rd anti-codon position. The record is from RNAcentral. Lineage: Eukaryota; Fungi; Ascomycota; Sordariomycetes; Glomerellales; Glomerellaceae.